AUUGAACGCUGGCGGCAGGCCUAACACAUGCAAGUCGAGCGGAGCGGCGGACGGGUGAGUAAUGCCUAGGAAUCUGCCUGGUAGUGGGGGAUAACGUCCGGAAACGGGCGCUAAUACCGCAUACUAUCAGAUGAGCCUAGGUCGGAUUAGCUAGUUGGUGGGGUAAAGGCCUACCAAGGCGACGAUCCGUAACUGGUCUGCGAGGAUGAUCAGUCACACUUGAAAUGGGAACAGGGCCAGGAUCCUACGGGAGGCAGCAGUGGGGAAUCUUCCGCAAUGGACGAAAGUCUGACGGAGCAACGCCGGGUGAGUGAUGACGGCCUUCGGGUUGUAAAGCUCUGUUAAUCGGGACGCGGUACCGGAAUAGAAAGCCACGGCUAACUACGUGCCAGCAGCCGCGGUAAUAC
Molecule: ribosomal RNA, 407 nt
Filed under: uncultured bacterium
Lineage: Bacteria
Description: partial 16S ribosomal RNA
Rfam family: Bacterial small subunit ribosomal RNA
Source: RNAcentral